AGAGUUUGAUCCUGGCUCAGGAUGAACGCUGGCGGCGUGCUUAACACAUGCAAGUCGAACGAACCUUCGGGUUAGUGGCGGACGGGUGAGUAACGCGUGAGAAUCUGCCCUCAGGAGGGGGACAACAGCUGGAAACGGCUGCUAAUACCCCAUAUGCCGCGAGGUGAAAUGAAUUUCGCCUGAGGAUGAGCUCGCGUCUGAUUAGCUAGUUGGUGUAGGUAAUGGCUCACCAAGGCAUCGAUCAGUAGCUGGUCUGAGAGGAUGAUCAGCCACACUGGGACUGAGACACGGCCCAGACUCCUACGGGAGGCAGCAGUGGGGAAUUUUCCGCAAUGGGCGAAAGCCUGACGGAGCAACGCCGCGUGAGGGAUGAAGGCCUCUGGGCUGUAAACCUCUUUUAUCAAGGAAGAAGAUCUGACGGUACUUGAUGAAUAAGCCACGGCUAAUUCCGUGCCAGCAGCCGCGGUAAUACGGGAGUGGCAAGCGUUAUCCGGAAUUAUUGGGCGUAAAGCGUCCGCAGGCGGCCCUUCAAGUCUGCUGUUAAAAAGUGGAGCUUAACUCCAUCAUGGCAGUGGAAACUGUUGGGCUUGAGUGUGGUAGGGGCAGAGGGAAUUCCCGGU
Molecule: ribosomal RNA, 620 nt
Filed under: uncultured cyanobacterium
Lineage: Bacteria; Bacillati; Cyanobacteriota
Description: bacterial SSU rRNA
Rfam family: Bacterial small subunit ribosomal RNA
Source: RNAcentral